RNAcentral lists this ribosomal RNA (449 nucleotides) under uncultured bacterium. RNAcentral describes it as "partial 16S ribosomal RNA". It matches the Rfam family "Bacterial small subunit ribosomal RNA", at positions 29 to 523 of the family's 1533-position model. The record is from RNAcentral.
AGCGAACGCUGGCGGCAGGCCUAACACAUGCAAGUCGAACGGACCCUUCGGGGUUAGUGGCGGACGGGUGAGUAACACGUGGGAACGUGCCUUUAGGUUCGGAAUAGCUCCUGGAAACGGGUGGUAAUGCCGAAUGUGCCCUUCGGGGGAAAGAUUUAUCGCCUUUAGAGCGGCCCGCGUCUGAUUAGCUAGUUGGUGGUGUAACGGACCACCAAGGCGACGAUCAGUAGCUGGUCUGAGAGGAUGAUCAGCCACAUUGGGACUGAGACACGGCCCAAACUCCUACGGGAGGCAGCAGUGGGGAAUCUUGCGCAAUGGGCGAAAGCCUGACGCAGCCAUGCCGCGUGAAUGAUGAAGGUCUUAGGAUUGUAAAAUUCUUUCACCGGGGACGAUAAUGACGGUACCCGGAGAAGAAGCCCCGGCUAACUUCGUGCCAGCCGCCGCGGUAA